RNAcentral lists this ribosomal RNA (253 nucleotides) under uncultured bacterium. Its description in RNAcentral is "partial 16S ribosomal RNA". It matches the Rfam family "Bacterial small subunit ribosomal RNA", at positions 524 to 776 of the family's 1533-position model. The record is from RNAcentral.
UACAGAGGGGGCAAGCGUUGUUCGGAAUUACUGGGCGUAAAGGGUGCGUAGGUGGUCGUUUAAGUCCGUUGUGAAAUCCCUGGGCUCAACCUGGGAAUGGCAGUGGAUACUGGACGGCUAGAAUGCGGUAGAGGGUAGUGGAAUUCCCGGUGUAGCAGUGAAAUGCGUAGAGAUCGGGAGGAACACCAGUGGCGAAGGCGGUUGCCUGGAGCUUUGCUGACGCUGAGGCGCGAAAGCGUGGGGAGCGAUCCGG